UCAGUGACAGGGUGCCCUAACCCCCCUCCCACCUCAGCCCCAUGACAAGACAUUAGCCCUUCUCCUGGGCUCAUGCACAGCAAAGGACUCUGUGCUCAAAGUCUUCCGGAGGAAACUGUGCGGCCUUGCUCAAGAAGAAGCCUUUCUUGGAAGAAAAAACAGCUGCCCAGCAAUACAGGUGUCCUGGGUGGAAGAGGCGAUUCUUCUGGCAGCCUGUUCUUGGAGUACGUUGACAGCCGUCAGCCACAACUGGUGAAUGCUAGCUUCACUAGGCUUGAAGAGAUGUAGGUGCAAUUUCCUAUUCAGAGCCAGCAGUAAGGACGGAGCUCUUCCUGAGGGCAGCCACGCUUGAGUCCUAUUUGCUAGCGGUGAGAACUAUGUCCCUGCUGAUGAUGAUAAGUGUGACCUCUGCGGGUAACGCAGCGCUGCCUGGCACCAUUCUGGGUCAAAAACCAACCCAGGGAGCUGUACUCCGGUCACAGAAUCACAGAACGACCAAGGUUGGAAGGGACCUCUGGAGAUCAUCUAGUCCAAUUCCCCUGGCUC
Molecule: long non-coding RNA, 546 nt
Organism: Struthio camelus australis
Lineage: Eukaryota; Metazoa; Chordata; Aves; Struthioniformes; Struthionidae
Source: RefSeq, a predicted model, not a curated record